Molecule: ribosomal RNA, 413 nt
Filed under: uncultured bacterium
Lineage: Bacteria
Description: bacterial SSU rRNA
Rfam family: Bacterial small subunit ribosomal RNA
Source: RNAcentral
GUGCCAGCCGCCGCGGUAAUACGUAGGGGGCGAGCGUUGUCCGGAAUUACUGGGCGUAAAGAGCGUGUAGGCGGGUGCUUAAGUCAGGUGUGAAAGACCGGGGCUCAACUCCGGGGUUGCACUUGAAACUGGGCAUCUUGAGGGCAGGAGAGGAAAGUGGAAUUCCUGGUGUAGCGGUGAAAUGCGUAGAUAUCAGGAGGAACACCGGUGGCGAAGGCGGCUUUCUGGACUGACCCUGACGCUGAGACGCGAAAGCGUGGGGAGCAAACAGGAUUAGAUACCCUGGUAGUCCACGCUGUAAACGAUGGGCACUAGGUGUAGGAGGUAUCGACCCCUUCUGUGCCGCAGCUAACGCAAUAAGUGCCCCGCCUGGGGAGUACGGUCGCAAGGCUGAAACUCAAAUAAAUUGACGG